GACGAACCGUGCGAACGUUGUUCGGAAUCACUGGGCAUAAAGGGCGCGUAGGCGGCUUAUCAAGUCAGGGGUGAAAUCCGGCAGCUCAACUGUCGAAGUGCCUUUGAUACUGAUGAGCUAGAGGGAGAUAGGGGUAUGCGGAACUUCCGGUGGAGCGGUGAAAUGCGUUGAUAUCGGGAGGAACACCAGCGGCGAAGGCGGCGCUCUGGGCCGGUACUGACGCUGAGGAGCGAAAGCGUGGGGAGCAAACAGG
This 253-nucleotide ribosomal RNA is filed under the name uncultured bacterium. RNAcentral describes it as "partial 16S ribosomal RNA". It matches the Rfam family "Bacterial small subunit ribosomal RNA", at positions 524 to 776 of the family's 1533-position model. The record is from RNAcentral.